UGGUGUAUAUCUGGUUUGAUAUUAUUGCUUAAUAGCUUAAUUUGUGUAUUAAUGAUUACUUAAGCCAAGUCUAUGUGCUGCUUGUAAAAGUUUUCAUGCGUUACGUUGAUAAGUUUGGUCAUGUAAGUGGCUUAAAGAUUUAUGACUUAAAAGUAAUAUUGUAUUAGUUUGUCUAUAUGAAAAGGGUUUAGGUCAAGCCACACCGC
This 206-nucleotide ribosomal RNA is filed under the name Mesocestoides sp. JH-2016h. Its description in RNAcentral is "partial 12S ribosomal RNA". The record is from RNAcentral. Lineage: Eukaryota; Metazoa; Platyhelminthes; Cestoda; Cyclophyllidea; Mesocestoididae.